AGCCGGCGCCGUGGAAUUGCUGCAUGUUCUGCAGCUCCUGCAGCAUGCUCUUCACCAUCAUGCCGAGGUUCUUCAUGCCCGCUUUGUUCGUAUCACAUUCGGACGAAGACUCCAUCGUGGAAGCAAUAAUUGUUUGAGGAAUGCAACCUGCUUGGUGCUCGUGCAGAGCAGAUUGCCUAUCCGCGACCCGCGGCGCGACAAUUUAAUUGGCGGAAUGAAACAGUCACAUGCAGGGAGGAAUUAUUAAUUAUUUUGUCACUCUGUUUAAAUUAAUAAGGCAUCCUCCGCCCCUCGGAGGAGCCACAGAUUUAAAAUAAAAAUUAAAUUCACGGUUUUGGGGGAAACUCCGGCUAAUUUCACCCUUUGCAAAAUUAAUCGCACCUUAUUUAGAUGAGCAGCUGCAUCGUAAACCGGCGAAGGAAGGAUGGUGGCUGCCUGUGCCCCGCGGUGCCCACACCCUGGGCCCGGAGAACAAGGGCGGCUGCCAAAUGUCAAUAAAUUCGGCUGCAGCUCGAAAGAGAUGCUCGCUCGCUCGCUGGAUUUUUGACUUUCAGAUGUUUCUGUCUCGUACCGGCCCACUUGUCCCAAGGGCGCACGCGCCAAUAUCGCUCACUCUGCUCGCGGUGCUCUCGUCGUUUGAGCUGAUUUCGCGCACACGUGCGUGGUUUGCCCGGCUCGCAGCCGUCAUUUAAAUUCGAAAUUCCUCGUAAUCUGCGUUAAUUAUGGAUGAAAUUAAGGACCAAAAGAAUUAAAUUACUUCAACAAACAAUUUUUAUUGAAAAUUUGCACUAAUCAGGUUUUGAGCAGUUUAGAUUUCCCGCAGUGGUGUUUCCACGGGUCACAAUAACAUUUUUAGGCGCUUUCUAAUUUUUAAAUCAAAACUAAAAACUGCAAAUCAAAAAGUUAAAUGGCUAAAAAUAUAUAUUUAGUAUAAAAUUUCUGGAAUUUCACUUUUACAAACAGAAGAUUAUCAUAUCACUGACGCAAAAUUCUGAUUGGCCAAAAGUUUGAAAAACACACGGUUUCAUAAACCAUUUUUCACGCUUUUGCAAUGAAAACACAACCUUUUUGGUGUUAAAAGAAACUGAAAAAAAUUAGAAAAUCCCAAUAUUUGUUAUUCCAGCUUUUCGUUUCUCAAAAAUAAAACAGUAAUGCAUUUUGCAAUUAAAUUUUCCUACCAUGGAAACCAAUAGAAUUUUGUUUUUAACAAUCUCUGUUUGCAAAAACCGAUUAUUUCUGGAAACAACACCCGCGUGAAUCUCUUUGUUAAGUAAACCUAACCAAUUUUCAAGAGGAUUUCAGUUUUUUGUAUUUCCUAUUAAUCAUUUUCGAUCUCUUAGGUCGGCUGUGUGUUUCCUGAGUCUCCAGUUCCACCGGCUUUUUCUCUUCAACUUUUUUUAUUGACACGCCUUCUCUGGCCAGCAACGCAUUAAACUCGUCCUAAAUAUUUCCCAUCCAAGGGCAGAAGCCAACUUUGAACAGCCCUCAUCACAGUCUCCUUCCCAAGCCACGUUUCGGCUCGUUGGAGAGAAGCUCAAAGUCGUGCUAUAGCCCAACAGUGCUCGUACUUCACGACUCGCCACCCCAAAUUUUUGCCGAUUUAUCAACAAGCGAGGCACGUUUUUAGGGAUCCUGCAAUUGAUAGGUUUGAGUUAUUUAAUUUGACGAAAACUGGUAUAAAAUUUUAAAUCAAGUUCAUUAUAAAGCAAAGUUAUCAAUCUCAUUUCACCCUUUCUUCGAAUAAAAAAUAUUUAAUAGUUAAUUCUCCAAUAUUAAAAGCCUUAAAAUCUAUAUAUUUAAUAUCCCCUUAUAUCUAUUUAGAGGGAUCGCUCCAUGCUCGAAGACCGAAAACAGUGCUUAAAUAUUUAAAGAUAUUCACCAGUUGCAUAAACCCUAAGUGUUCGAAGCCGCCAAUUAACAGAUGGCGCCACCGUAGACUUUCGAUUUUAAGGCACUUCCGCUGCGAUUUCAGACUCAAUC
Cloeon dipterum is the source of this 1980-nucleotide long non-coding RNA. RefSeq lists it as uncharacterized. The record is from RefSeq and is a predicted model, not a curated record. Lineage: Eukaryota; Metazoa; Arthropoda; Insecta; Ephemeroptera; Baetidae. The transcript is spliced from 3 exons.